ACCAUCCUUUUCUUGGGGUUGGGCUACUGUCCGAUGAGCGUUUAGCGAGGGCAGUACUGCUAACACCUAAACAAAAAAGAAAAAGAAAGAGAUGAUGUUUUGUAUGU
Small nuclear RNA from Dipodomys ordii (Ord's kangaroo rat), 107 nucleotides. NCBI's taxonomy places the organism in Eukaryota, Metazoa, Chordata, Mammalia, Rodentia, Heteromyidae. The record is from Ensembl.